AUGUGAUGCUACUGGUCAGUGUGUUUGCAAAGAAGGUGUGACUGGUGUGAAGUGUUCUGUUUGUAAGGAUGGCUUCUACAUUUUGUUUCCUGAUGAUGCUAGCAGUUGUCAGUCGUGUGGUUGUUCUCUGUCAUCUUCAGUUUCAUUGACGUGUGAUAAGAUCUCAGGACAAUGUACUUGUAAAUCUGGUCUGACUGGACGAACUUGUGACAUCAUUGAAGACUUUCACUGGCUCCCCUUUUUGGAGGGUCUCAUUUACGAAGCAGAAUUUGCUGUUCUUAGUGCUGGAGCAACAGUUGAGAAACAAAUUAGGGAUUCUCACAACUUCACCGGAAUAGGUGGAGUAAGAU
Corticium candelabrum is the source of this 350-nucleotide long non-coding RNA. RefSeq lists it as uncharacterized. The transcript has 3 exons. The record is from RefSeq and is a predicted model, not a curated record. Lineage: Eukaryota; Metazoa; Porifera; Homoscleromorpha; Homosclerophorida; Plakinidae.